Molecule: long non-coding RNA, 2166 nt
Organism: Lolium rigidum
Lineage: Eukaryota; Viridiplantae; Streptophyta; Magnoliopsida; Poales; Poaceae
Exons: 3
Source: RefSeq, a predicted model, not a curated record
AUCCACAUCUCCAUAUCCGGCAUCGUAGCAACCGCAUGCACACCACGUUCCUCCCACACGCCGCCCACGCCUGCUACUUCUUGAGCGCACCGCCUCGUUCUUCUGUUCACGACCCAACCGGCCAGCUCCUCUCCUCGAUGCUCCUUUGUGAACCCAGGAAGAAAAAGAUGCAGCGCGCGGGGAGCGAAGCCGAUGCGUCCCUUUGACAGGCGGUGUCGAGGAGAACCUCGAUCCGGCCGUGGAGGCGAUCAGAUCUUGAUGAGCCGGUAUCCGAGCGAGGGCCGGAUCUUGCCAAUUCUUCUUUGGAUUUCUUGGAAAAUCUUAAUAAAUCUGAAGGUUUAUUUGUUCAAUGUUUCUCUGCCGUUUUGGAGAUUAAUCAGGUUAUUGGCUUGGCUGGAAUCGGAUCCCAGAUCUCCAGCCGCUCAAGGACUAUCUCGCUGGAAGCGCGCCGGCGUCAACCGCCUGGUGGAGACGACUGACUGCCAAGGCUCGCCGUCCAUCAGGAAGCCCACCACCCGCAGUCAUCUCGCGCCUUUACCGGGAGUCCACCGCAAGACCAGCAGUUCACCGUGCGCCGGCACUGGGAGUCUACCUCACGCCUCUCCCAUAGCACGAUGGGUCAUGUAGCUCCGCGUGGAGAUGGAAGGCUAUGUCCCAGAAUAGGGAUAGCAUAUCGACACUACGUGUAUGAGAAGAGACUUGAGAAGCAAACAACGCUGUUGUCAUGGUAUAUUGAUAUACAUCCUGCUCUAUGACGCGUCUCAGUUUUGGGCAGUUAUAUAAAUACUAGACACACAUGUUUGCUUCUUAAGGCUCCACGGUCCACAUAUGUCUGGUUUUGAAGUGCCAACAUAACAUUCUUUGGAAUAUAGAAUCAGAGCAUGGGAUAUUUGAGACAUCUAGCAGGUGAUGCCCGAUCGACAUGCUAUAUUUUCAAUCGCCUCAUGGAUAUUUCCUGUGUGAAAACAGUCAUUUGGGCAGGCCAACCAUGGCUGCAGCUGAGCGGCAAGGUACGAGACAAGCUGCUGGACUUGGCGGCUCUGUCGCGGCUGAAGAAGAUGACAUUGAGAGUGAGCACUGGUUUCAGUGGCCAUAUAUUUCAUCUGCAAUCUAAUUCAAUAGUCAGUACUCUAUUCAUGUAAUUGCAAAGCAAAUUCAGCUGAAGUUAAAAUAGUUAUGUUUCCAGGUCUUGCACUCAUGGUUAAAAUGUGGCUUCAUCCCCCCACCCUUUUAGUUGAGCUGAAUUCAGUUUUUGAGGUAGUAUCACUUUGCUAAGAAAAUAGCUACUAGGUGUAAAUAGUAGUACUAUAUGAUCAUUUACAUGAUUAAACUGUAGGUACAUAUUCAAGCAGUUAUUUACAAGUCAAAUAUCAGUUCUAGAUUUCAUGUUUAUUCAACGGAGUCUUUUCUUUCUCCAUGUUGCAAAGGAGGGGCUUAUGUUGUCUGCUUCUUUAUUUUUGUAUACACUGUCUUCCUUAACAUUCCAAAUUAAAUAAUUUUAGACGCGACGAAAUGCAAGAGAUGCUCUUCAACUUGCUACUACAUCCCAGGAUAUUUCGAAUACAAAAACAUAGCAUGGGAUAUUGGAGACUGGUGGAAUACAAAGAAGAAAUUAUUUUCAUGACCUAACUGGUGAUUGUUUCUUUCCCGUGCCGUUGUGUAUGAGAAGAGACUUGAGAAGAAAACAACGAUGUUGUCAUGGUAUAUUGAUAUACAUCCUGCUCUAGCCACACAUGUUUGCUUCUUAAGGCUCCACGGUCCACAUAUGUCCAUUUAUGAAUUAUAGCAACAUAACAUUCUUUGGAAUAUAGAAAUAGAGCAUGGGAUAUUGGAGACUUCUAGCAGGCAAACGGUGGAUACAGCUGAGCGGCAAGGUACCAGACAAGCCGCUGGACAUGGUGGCCCUGUCGUGGCUGAUGAAGAUGACAUUGAGAAUCAGCACUGGUUUCAGUUAUAUUUCAUCUUCGAUCUAAUUCAAUAGUCGGUAGUCUAUUCAUGUAAUGGAAAAUACCAUUCAGAUCAAGUAAAAAUAGUUAUGUUCCCAAGUCUUGCAUUUAUGGUAAAAGGGUGGCUUCAUCCCCCCACCCCCACACACGCAGAACACACUUUAUUUCUCUGUUUGAGAAGUGAUUAUUUCCAAAAAGGAAGACCUGAAUGAUUGCAAUA